RNAcentral lists this ribosomal RNA (228 nucleotides) under uncultured bacterium. RNAcentral describes it as "partial 16S ribosomal RNA". It matches the Rfam family "Bacterial small subunit ribosomal RNA", at positions 89 to 334 of the family's 1533-position model. The record is from RNAcentral.
AAGUUAGUGGCAGACGGGUGAGUAACGCGUGGGAAUGUACCUUUUGGUUCGGAAUAACUACGGGAAACUGUAGCUAAUACCGGAUAAGCCCGUGAGGGGAAAGAUUUAUCGCCAAAAGAGCAGCCCGCGUUAGAUUAGGUAGUUGGUGGGGUAAAGGCCUACCAAGCCUACGAUCUAUAGCUGGUCUGAGAGGAUGAUCAGCCACACUGGGACUGAGACACGGCCCAG